RNAcentral lists this non-coding RNA (177 nucleotides) under Leptospira borgpetersenii. The record is from RNAcentral. Lineage: Bacteria; Pseudomonadati; Spirochaetota; Leptospiria; Leptospirales; Leptospiraceae. RNAcentral also lists the same sequence under 1 other name.
AAUCUUGGAAUACAACUUGUUUGUCCUCGUAAAGAGGAAGGGAAUCCGGUUGUAGUCCGGAGCUGAACCCGCAGCUGUAAUCACCAACCAAAAUUUCGCAAAAUACCACUGCUUUAAACGCGGGAAGGAUGCAAAAUCGGCGAGAGCCAGAAGACCUAACAAGUUGAGCAAACUGAC